AUGAAUUUGUGGCAGUACCAAGUAAGUAAUGAGCAGUUCAAGUUACCUCCAAGGCUAAUCAACGAGAAUGAAGAUGAAGUAUCCCUACAGCAACAUGUCCAACCUUCUCCACCACAGAAGUCAAUAAUGAGCAGUCACUCUCUCACGAAGAGCCUCAAGAUCCUCAUGCUGAUGUUCAACCUGUCAUCGAAAUUACCAGAAGAUAGUCCCCAAGAGUUAGAAAGCCAUCAAUUUCUGAUGAAUGUAUAUUUGCAGGAGAUUGAAUGA
Molecule: long non-coding RNA, 267 nt
Filed under: Prunus dulcis (almond)
Lineage: Eukaryota; Viridiplantae; Streptophyta; Magnoliopsida; Rosales; Rosaceae
Description: sRNA ncRNA
Source: RNAcentral